Molecule: long non-coding RNA, 494 nt
Filed under: Homo sapiens (human)
Lineage: Eukaryota; Metazoa; Chordata; Mammalia; Primates; Hominidae
Description: novel transcript
Source: RNAcentral
AAGAACAGAUGAGUCAGAGGUUUCUGCUUAAUGCUCACUCUUCAAUUCUUUCCCGAGCAAAACCAAGAAUCUUCUUGGGCUAAGCCCCAAUUUGGGGUUCACCUGCCUUGCAGCAACAUGGCACCAAACAUGCGGCAGAAGAGAGAAAACGACAGCAUGAGAGACGGAGAAAGAAAUGGCCAGUUGGCAAGGUGGUACAGCCAAGCAGACAGGCAAGUAAGUGGCCAUACUGCUACUGCCUCAUGUAGGAUCCGGCAGGCUGGUGGGUUAUCAGUCCUCACGUGGGACCCUCCCACCAUGGCAGCUGAGCACAUCCAAGCUGGGGGAUCCUGAAGAGACCUUCACCUGGGUGCCACGUGGAAGAUUGGCCAGCACCAUUUUGACUCCUGUGGAUGGGAAUACCAGAUAAAUGACGUUGUGCCCUUCUCAAUGAUCACGUCAGGAGACACAUGAGCUAGCUGAGGUUUUAUUUUGGACACACAAAAAAGAAAAAA